RNAcentral lists this transfer RNA (75 nucleotides) under Sutterellaceae bacterium. RNAcentral's name for it is "tRNA-Val". It matches the Rfam family "tRNA". Rfam says of the family: Transfer RNA (tRNA) molecules are approximately 80 nucleotides in length. Their secondary structure includes four short double-helical elements and three loops (D, anti-codon, and T loops). RNAcentral also lists the same sequence under 3 other names. The record is from RNAcentral. Lineage: Bacteria; Pseudomonadati; Pseudomonadota; Betaproteobacteria; Burkholderiales; Sutterellaceae.
GCGCAGUUAGCUCAGAGGUAGAGCAUCGCCUUCACACGGCGGGGGUCACAGGUUCAAUCCCUGUACUGCGCACCA